RNAcentral lists this ribosomal RNA (449 nucleotides) under Saccharomyces cerevisiae (brewer's yeast). RNAcentral's name for it is "LSU rRNA". It matches the Rfam family "Eukaryotic large subunit ribosomal RNA", at positions 90 to 501 of the family's 3401-position model. Lineage: Eukaryota; Fungi; Ascomycota; Saccharomycetes; Saccharomycetales; Saccharomycetaceae. The record is from RNAcentral.
CGAGUGAAGCGGCAAAAGCUCAAAUUUGAAACCCUCGGGAUUGUAAUUUGAAGAUUUGGCAUUGGAGAAAGCUAACCCAAGUUGCUUGGAAUAGUACGUCAUAGAGGGUGACAACCCCGUCUGGCUAACCGUUCUCCAUGUAUUGCCUUAUCAAAGAGUCGAGUUGUUUGGGAAUGCAGCUCAAAGUGGGUGGUAAACUCCAUCUAAAGCUAAAUACUGGUGAGAGACCGAUAGCGAACAAGUACUGUGAAGGAAAGGUGAAAAGAACUUUGAAAAGAGAGUGAAAUAGUAUGUGAAAUUGUUGAUAGGGAAGGAAAUGAGUGGAGAGUGGCCGAGGUUUCAGCCGCCCCUCGUGGGCGGUGUACUGCCGACGCCGAGUCAUCGAUAGCGAGACGAGGGUUACAAAUGGGAGCGCCUUCGGGCGUUCUCCCCUAACCCUCCACACUGCC